Non-coding RNA from Podarcis lilfordi (Lilford's wall lizard), 889 nucleotides. NCBI's taxonomy places the organism in Eukaryota, Metazoa, Chordata, Lepidosauria, Squamata, Lacertidae. The record is from the annotation of a GenBank genome assembly.
AAUGAAGGCAACACAUCCAUGAUCCAAAGCCUACAAUGAUCCAAAGCCUGCAGAGAUAGCGAGCAGGUGAGCAGAAAGGGCUCUGCUGUGUUUCUCCUCGCAAUUUUGUUUCUUUUCCUUUUUUUUCCAUCAAAGGGAGAAAGAAAAAGUAGUGUGGUUGAGGCUGAGGGGGAAGAAAACCCAGCUAUGUGUCCCACUCUGUAGAACACAGGAAGAUACCUUAAACCAGUGAUGGCCAAACUUGGCCCUCUAGCUGUUUGGGGACUACAAUUCCCAUCAUCCCUGACAACUGAUCCUGUUAGAUAGGGAUGAUGGGAGUUGUAGUCCCAAAACAGCUGGAGGGCCAAGUUUGGCCAUCACUGUGCUUAAACUGAAUCAAAGCAAUGGUCUAAUAGUAUGGUCUACACUGAAUGGCAGCAGCUCUCUGUUGUCACAGGAAGCAGUUUUACUCAGCAGUCCUACCAGAAGAAAUGAAUGAGUGACUCUGUCAAUUCCAGUCUCUUGUUUUUGUUUUUUUUUUAAAUCUGUUCUCUACAUUUUUCCACCAGUUUGUAAUUAAAAGGCGAGGGGGGAGAAAGAGAGACCUCUUGAAAAUUUCAUCAGCACUUGAGUUCGAAUUUCUCCUGAUACACACAUGUACAUAUGCAAUUUCCCCUAAUAAUGCAGAUUUUCAUAAAGUAAUUUCCCCUAAUAUUUUGUAUGUUGUUUCCACACGGCAAAGAAAUUCAACAUGUGAUUGCUGCAGAAAAUCACACCCGCUGAAUUUAUCUGCUUUGAGGGUCAUGACCCAAGACAUGGGGGCGCUCCCACGAGAAAAGACCACAACCCCGCUUCUUUCCAAACAGCCUGGUUUGCAUCGUCACCUGACCCUCCGCAUUGUUGCCGCUCC